This 831-nucleotide ribosomal RNA is filed under the name uncultured marine group I thaumarchaeote. Its description in RNAcentral is "SSU rRNA". It matches the Rfam family "Archaeal small subunit ribosomal RNA", at positions 26 to 863 of the family's 1478-position model. The record is from RNAcentral. Lineage: Archaea; Thermoproteati; Nitrososphaerota.
ACUGCUAUCGGAUGAUACUAAGCCAUGCGAGUCUUUGUAGUAAUACAAGGCAGACGGCUCAGUAACACGUAGUCAACCUACCCUAUGGACGAGAAUAAUCUCGGGAAACUGAGCAUAAUUCUUGAUAGAUCAUAAUGCCUGGAAUGGUUUAUGAUUAAAAUGAUUCGUCGCCAUAGGAUGGGACUGCGGCCUAUCAGCUUGUUGGUGAGGUAAUGGCCCACCAAGGCGAUUACAGGUACGGGCUCUGAGAGGAGAAGCCCGGAGAUGGGUACUGAGACACGGACCCAGGCCCUAUGGGGCGCAGCAGGCGAGAAAACUUUGCAAUGUGCGAAAGCACGACAAGGUUAAUCCGAGUGAUUUCUGCUAAAGAAAUCUUUUGCCAGUCGUAAAACCACUGGUGAAUAAGGGGUGGGCAAGUUCUGGUGUCAGCCGCCGCGGUAAAACCAGCACCUCAAGUGGUCAGGAUGAUUAUUGGGCCUAAAGCAUCCGUAGCCUGCUUUGUAAGUUUUCGGUUAAAUCCAUGUGCUCAACGCAUGGGCUGCCGAAAAUACUGCAUAGCUAGGGAGUGGGAGAGGUAGACGGUACUCAGUAGGUAGGGGUAAAAUCCUUUGAUCUAUUGAUGACCACCUGUGGCGAAGGCGGUCUACCAGAACACGUUCGACGGUGAGGGAUGAAAGCUGGGGGAGCAAACCGGAUUAGAUACCCGGGUAGUCCCAGCUGUAAACGAUGCAGACUAGAUGAUGCAUUGGCAUAAUAGCCAUUGCAGUGUCUCAGGGAAGCCGUUAAGUCUGCCGCCUGGGAAGUACGUACGCAAGUAUGAAACUUAAAGGA